This 478-nucleotide ribosomal RNA is filed under the name uncultured bacterium. Its description in RNAcentral is "partial 16S ribosomal RNA". It matches the Rfam family "Bacterial small subunit ribosomal RNA", at positions 28 to 523 of the family's 1533-position model. The record is from RNAcentral.
GACGAACGCUGGCGGCGUGCUUAACACAUGCAAGUCGAACGGUAAGGCCCUUCGGGGUACACAAGUGGCGAACGGGUGAGUAACACGUGGGUGAUCUGCCCUGCACUUCGGGAUAAGCCUGGGAAACUGGGUCUAAUACCGGAUAGGACUCCUGGCUUCAUGGUUGGGGGUGGAAAGCUUUUGCGGUGUGGGAUGGGCCCGCGGCCUAUCAGCUUGUUGGUGGGGUAAUGGCCUACCAAGGCGACGACGGGUAGCCGGCCUGCGAGGGUGACCGGUCACACGGGGACUGAGAUACGGCACAGACUCCUACGGGAGGGAGCAGUGGGGAAUAUUGCACAAUGGGCGCAAGCCUGAUGCAGCGACGCCGCGUGAGGGAUGACGGCCUUCGGGUUGUAAACCUCUUUCAGCUAUGACGAAGCGCAAGUGACGGUAGUAGCAGAAGAAGGACCGGCCAAGUACGUGCCAGCCGCCGCGGUAA